GCAAAUAUCCUCAAUCACUUUGGAAAAAAAAAAGUUUGUUCUUGCCAUUCUCUUCAUUUCUCUGUGCAUGAUAUUAUCCAACUUCAGUGUCAAUAUUGAGGCAAAAAAUUCUCAUUCAAAGAAACAAUUAUUGAUGAUAUUCAUAUAGCUUUCAAGCAAAACAGACUGAUUUCAAGACAACUUGUUGAGUUCUAUCUAAAUGAAAUUCAUAGAGCUAAUCCAAUUCUAAAAGGAACCAUAGAAGUGAAUCCAGAUGCACUCUUUCUUGCAGAUAAAGCUGAUCAAGAUCAAGAACGAAAAGCGAAAACGCAUGAAUCACUGUCCAGCAGGCUACAUGGUGUCCCAGUUCUUGUCAAGGACCACAUUGCAACAAAGGAUAAGCUUGACACAACAGCAGGAUCAUUAGCACUUGUUGGAUCCCUGGUGCCACAAGAUGCUGGUGUGGUCAAGAAGUUGAGAAAAGCUGGUGCCAUCAUACUGGCAAGGCAACUAUGACUGAGUGGGCUGCUUUCAGGUCUGAUAAGUUGCCUAAUGGUUGGAAUGGAAGAUUUAGCCAAGCUCUGGUUUUUACAGAAUCCUCAUGUAGCAAGUGCUGAUCCAUCAGGAUCAAGCACUGGUUCUGCAACAUCAGUAGCAGCAAACAUGGCAGCAAUAUCACUGGGGACAGAAACUGCAGGCUCUAUUCUAUCUCCAUCUGGUGCUAAUUCAGUUGUUGGAGUCAAACCAACUGUUGGCCACACAAGCAGGGCAGGUUGUUGUCCCAUUUUCACAUAAGCAAGACACUGUUAGGGAAGUCUUUCUGGAACCUAAGCGAUUUGUUCUGCCCAACAACUGGCCUUUGUCCACUGAUCUUCAGAAUUCCUGUUCUGGUCAGUUGAACCCUCACUUGUUCCUUUUUGAAACCUGCAGAAUUUUCGAUGUUACUGUAUUAACGUCAAACAUGGCCCAUGAAUAUGUCAAAAGGCCGUAAAUAAUCUACUCUUAAAUGCUAUGUUGCUCGAACUCUUCAAAACGAUCGCCGGGUGUGUGUCAGAUCCUCGAAAAACUAUGCAUUUUUGGAGGAUUCGACGCGAGUGCAACAGAAUUUUGAAGGGUCUAAGCAACAUAGCUGAAAUGUGACAUUUCCGUCCUAUUGUGACAUCUGAAUUGUUGUGAUGUUCCCAUGAAAAUAAUGACAUUGUGUUGAGGACCCAAAAGUUUCUAUUGCUCAUACUCUUCAAAAAUGCUACAAGGUAUGUAUCAGAUCCUCCAAUAUUAGUGCAUUUUCGGGAGACCCGACACAGGUGUGGCAACAUUUUUGAAGAGUCAAGCAACAUAGCAUAAAGUAUCUGCAUUCCUUUUUUUUUUUUUUUUUUUUUCUUU
Long non-coding RNA from Lycium barbarum (goji berry), 1362 nucleotides. RefSeq lists it as uncharacterized. NCBI's taxonomy places the organism in Eukaryota, Viridiplantae, Streptophyta, Magnoliopsida, Solanales, Solanaceae. The transcript is spliced from 3 exons. The record is from RefSeq and is a predicted model, not a curated record.